RNAcentral lists this long non-coding RNA (291 nucleotides) under Salmo salar (Atlantic salmon). RNAcentral's name for it is "lncRNA (ENSSSAG00000107101.1)". The record is from RNAcentral. Lineage: Eukaryota; Metazoa; Chordata; Actinopteri; Salmoniformes; Salmonidae.
GUGUUGUCUCUCUUUAUGUAGUGUUGUGUUGUCUCUCUCUUUAUGUAGUGUUGUGUUGUCUCUCUCUUUAUGUAGUGUUGUGUUGUCUCUCUCUUUAUGUAGUGUUGUGGUGUCUCGCUUUAUGUAGUGUUGUGGUGUCUCUCUUUAUGUAGUGUUGUGGUGUCUCUCUUUAUGUAGUGUUGUGGUGUCUCUCUCUUUAUGUAGUUGUCUCUCUCUAUAUGUAGUGUUGUGGUGUCUCUCUUCAUGUAGUGUUGUGGUGUCUCUCUCUUUAUGUAGUGUUGUGGUGUCUCU